Molecule: ribosomal RNA, 305 nt
Filed under: uncultured bacterium
Lineage: Bacteria
Description: bacterial SSU rRNA
Rfam family: Bacterial small subunit ribosomal RNA
Source: RNAcentral
UUGCCUACGGGGGGCAGCAGUGGGGAAUAUUGGGCAAUGGACGCAAGUCUGACCCAGCAACGCCGCGUGAAGGAAGAAGGCUUUCGGGUUGUAAACUUCUUUUGAGGGGGAAGAGUAGAAGACGGUACCCCUUGAAUAAGCCACGGCUAACUACGUGCCAGCAGCCGCGGUAAUACGUAGGUGGCAAGCGUUGUCCGGAUUUACUGGGUGUAAAGGGAGCGUAGACGGAAAGGCAAGUCGGAAGUGAAAACCCAAGGCUCAACCAUGGGACUGCUUUUGAAACUGUCAAACUAGAGUACGGGAGG